AUUGCAUGGCCCUGGACCUGUGAGUGAAGAGUUAGCUUCAGCUAGCAAGCCUGAUAUACCUGAGCGAGGGGACGACAGCACAGAGGCUUCUGCCAGUAACACUGAGCACCUGACUGGUUAGAGGAGCAAGUGGACAAGCAGAUCCUGGGGCACAGCACAGGGAGAGCACCGAUUCCCCAAGAAAA
Molecule: long non-coding RNA, 185 nt
Organism: Tyto alba (common barn owl)
Lineage: Eukaryota; Metazoa; Chordata; Aves; Strigiformes; Tytonidae
Exons: 3
Source: RefSeq, a predicted model, not a curated record